Molecule: long non-coding RNA, 851 nt
Organism: Oncorhynchus tshawytscha (Chinook salmon)
Lineage: Eukaryota; Metazoa; Chordata; Actinopteri; Salmoniformes; Salmonidae
Source: Ensembl
GUGGAGACUAACUAUGAAAUGCUUACUGACAGAGACUUACCAACAAAGCGGCCGCGUAGCCUAGUGGUUAGAGUGUAGGGGCGGCAGCGUAGCCUAGUAGUUAGAGUGUAGGGGCGGCAGCGUGGCCUAGUGGAUAGAGUGUAGGGGCGGCAGGUAGCCUAGUGGUUAGAGUGGAGGGGCGGCAGGUAGCCUAGUGGUUAGAGUGGAGGGGCGGCAACGUAGCCUAGUGGUUAGAGUGUAGGGACAGGCAGGUAGCCUAUUGGUUAGAGUGGAGGGGCAGCAGCGUAGCCUAGUGGCUAGAGUGUAGGGGCGGCAGCGUAACCUAGUGGUUAGAGUGUAGGGGCGGCAGGUAGCCUAGUGGUUAGAGUGGAGGGGCGGCAGGUAGCCUAGUGGUUAGAGUGGAGGGGCGGCAGGGUAGCCUAGUGGUUAGAGUGUAGGGGCGGCAGCGUAGCCUAGUGGUUAGAGUGUAGGCACAGGCACGUAGCCUAGUGGUUAGAGUGGAGGGGCGGCAGGGUAGCCUAGUGGUUAGAGUGUAGGGACAGGCAGGUAGCCUAGUGGUUAGAGUGUAGGGGCGGCAGCGUAGCCUAGUGGUUAGAGUGUAGGGGCGGCAGGGUAGCCUAGUGGUUAGAGUGUAGGGGCGGCAGGUAGUCUAGUGGUUAGAGUGUAGGGGCGGCAGGGUAGCCUAGUGGUUAGAGUGUAGGGGUGGCAGCGUAGCCUAGUGGUUAGAGUGUAGGGACAGGCAGGUAGCCUAGUGGUUAGAGUGGAGGGGCGGCAGGUAGCCUAGUGGUUAGAGUGGUGGGGCGGCAGGUAGCCUAGUGGUUAGAGUGUAGGGGUGGCAGCGUAGCCUAGUG